AGUGAACGCUGGCGGUAGGCCUAACACAUGCAAGUCGAACGGCAGCACAGUAAGCGCUUGCUCUUACGGGUGGCGAGUGGCGGACGGGUGAGGAAUACAUCGGAAUCUACUUUUUCGUGGGGGAUAACGUAGGGAAACUUACGCUAAUACCGCAUACGACCUACGGGUGAAAGCAGGAGAGCUUCGGACCUUGCGCGAUUGAAUGAGCCGAUGUCGGAUUAGCUAGUUGGCGGGGUAAAGGCCCACCAAGGCGACGAUCCGUAGCUGGUCUGAGAGGAUGAUCAGCCACACUGGAACUGAGACACGGUCCAGACUCCUACGGGAGGCAGCAGUGGGGAAUAUUGGACAAUGGGCGCAAGCCUGAUCCAGCCAUACCGCGUGAGUGAAGAAGGCCUUCGGGUUGUAAAGCCCUUUUGUUGGGAAAGAAAAGCAGCAGGUUAAUACCCCGCUGUUCUGACGGUACCCAAAGAAUAAGCACCGGCUAACUUCGUG
RNAcentral lists this ribosomal RNA (492 nucleotides) under uncultured bacterium. RNAcentral's name for it is "partial 16S ribosomal RNA". It matches the Rfam family "Bacterial small subunit ribosomal RNA", at positions 29 to 507 of the family's 1533-position model. The record is from RNAcentral.